This 408-nucleotide long non-coding RNA is filed under the name Salvia miltiorrhiza (redroot sage). RNAcentral's name for it is "long non-coding RNA (SMIL_LNC012536)". Lineage: Eukaryota; Viridiplantae; Streptophyta; Magnoliopsida; Lamiales; Lamiaceae. The record is from RNAcentral.
AUUUUCGACGGGACUGGUGCUCACCUCAAUAUCGUCUUCCUCCAAGUCCGCAGCCUUCCUUCCAGUUUCAUCAUUGCGAAAUGCAUCAUCACCCACAAUGCCGCUAUAACUGUCUUCGACACCAUCAUUUCCACAAGAAACGUUCAAGUCUAUGCUCAUUUGCCCAAACUACAAGGAAAAACAAAUUUAUUAGGAUUGCGAAGUUAAGGAAACUAUAAGACAAAAAAAAACUACGAAAAAAAUAAAACAUGCUGGUGAUGAAAAAAACCCACAAUAAUACAAAUAUUUACGAUGCAUUUAAUUCAGUAGCAAAGAGAAUACUUAAAAAAUGUGACUAAGCCGGGUUAAAUGGUUUUCACAACGUAGGUUUUCCCAUUUAAAUGUUUUAAUGCAUUCCAAAAGAUAAAA